CACAGAGGGGGGAGGGGGGAUAGAGGUGCAGAGAGAGAGAGGUACAGAAAGAGAGAGAGAGGCACAACGUUGUGCUGGAACACAAGAGAAAGUCGACAAUCAACAGUCAACUUCGAAUCAGCAAAGCAUGUGAGAAUAUCAGAACAUUUCCCACAUCAGAGGCAGAUCACCAUGACUGAAGUGGUAGCAGGGAAGACGUGGCAACCGCUGAAAUAACAAUAAAACCUCAUAUCAUAUCCUUACUGUACAACUCUUACAGAUUAGUCAGAACAAGAAUACCUCCUCAAACUAAAAAUCUGAAGUAAUCAGUCACCAAUUUCACAGGCGCUGCACAUGAGCUAAUCAAAUCACUCAAUCUUAUUUAUCCAUCAUCUUUGAUGUAUCUACACUUCAUCCACCCUCCCACCCUUUUGGCAGGAGGAGGGGGAGUCUGGAAACUGGACAUCCUGUCUUUAGUGGAGUCUGUCUUGACCGUGUAAGAUACACUGAGUUUCUAUUACCUUGUGGAUUUCUGAAGAAAUUGUUGCUGAAGGAAUUCAAUUCCGAGAAACAGCACAACACCACACACCCAUCACACCACAGGAGAUGGUGGCACCUUAAUCGGGGAGAAAGGGGUCGUGGUAAUGACUGGAGCAGGUUCAGGGGAAUGGUAUGAAAUACAUCAAACACAUGGUUUCCAGGUGUUUAAUGCCAUUCCAUUUGCUCCAUUCCGCACAUUAUUAUUAGCAGUCACGAAUGUUUGAUCUUGAACAGAACAUGACACGCAGAAAUCGUAAUGUUCAACCUGCGAGGACAGAUACAGAAACCGGGAAAAUUCCGAGCAACACAGCUCAAACAAAUGGAUUGGAGAGGUGGUGUGAAUACAUCUCUCUCUACAGCUCAGAGCAACUUGUCUCUGUGUUUCACCUGCAACGGUGAGAGAUGUCAAGAUGUGAAAAAGAUUUUCAACUCAAUGAGAGAUGACAAAAUUUGGACGCAAAGUACUGCAACGUCUGCCCUUCUUGGCUGUUCCCUGACCUCGUCUCCCUUUGCUGGGAAGUGUGUGCCAUGUGUUGAGGACCGCAAGGUCUACAUUGUUUGCCUUGACAUGCCCAAGGAUCUCAAACUGGACCUGGAGGAUGGUGAUGGCAACUCAUUUUCCUACACUGAAGCUAGUGGAGUCAGAGGUCUUGCUGGGCAUGGUGGAGCAAUGAUCAGCAUUGGCAUGUUAGCAGCUGCCGUCAUCUUUGUCGCUUACUACAGAAGCCAGACCAAAUCAAGUAUUGUCUAGUGUCAACUUCAGAAGUCCACUCAGAGGAACACCAGACCCAUUUAAAGUUAUUAAAGACUGUCACGUCUACUGCUCCCCCUCUCCGGCGCACAGAGGGAGGGGGGCAGAACAUGAGACAGAGCUGCAUUUCAUGACAAAAUGUGAAAAAUAUAAAACAAUUAGAGAGUGUAAUUUCCCCAUUUUGAAACCCUUAUUCAAGGUUUCAAAGACCUCUCUGGUGAGAGUAGGCUACCCUUCCUGUUGGGGGAAGACGCAGAGAGCUGGGGGUUGGCAGCGCACUACAUUGCUGCCUGCCAUAAGAUGAGGGACAGUGUCUGACAGACCAAUCAACCUGCACAUAAGCUUUGGCAAUAUGUACAUUGUUACGUUAUGCCAAUAAAGUGAAUUGAAUUGACACACCCACACACACACACACACACACACACACACACACACACACACACACACACACACACACACACACACACACACACACACACACACACACACACACACAGAGAGAGAGAGGGGGAGGGAGAGAGAGCACAGGGGGGGGGGGGAGAGAGGCACAGUUAGGGAGAGAGGCACAGAGGGGGGAGAGAGAGAGCACAGAGGGGGAGGGGAGAGAGAGGGACAGAGGGGGGAUAGAGGUGCAGAGAGAGAGGUACAGAAAGAGAUAAUGCUGAACCUGAGUGGCUUCUGCCUUAGAACAGGACAGGUGAGGCUGUGUUGGUUAAGGAAUGUAUCUGUUAUUUAGCAGGUCACUGGGGACACAGAGAGGGAAUGCAAAGACAGGGAGAACAGCAAGUCGUACCUACUUACUAGAGCAAAGGCCAUUUGGAAGCAUGGUUUGAUCAGGAGGCUCACUUGAAGACAGUGGAUUACAAUAUCCUACUGGUCCUCAGCCACCUCCUUUAUAACAUCCAAAAUGUCAUCUUUAGAUUGAUUUGAUUAGGCACAAUACAAGCCGGGAUUUCUGGCUGCUCUAUUAGCAGGGCUAUUUCUCCAUGUUGUGGAUGUCUAUUCAUAUGUUUGUAUGUAUGCUGUCACUGUUUUAUUAUUAUUUGGAAAACCCCUACCCUGCCCCCCUUCCUCCUGAGAAGUGAUCAGCAGUCAUACCACUCUGAGCCCACCCACCACCUGAUCAUCCUGUCCUCUACCGUUACACCCCGCUGGAAACAGGAAACUACUGUGGAAAUGUGUAUAUUUGCAGAGCAAGUCGAUCAUAUCAGAUUGUUUAAUUAAAUAGAAUGUUCUGGAUCCCCCUCUCUGACACCAGCCUGAAACAUGUGACCUCACAGUAUACCUACAGUCUGAGCCAAAUGCUUAAGAACUAUUAGAGAAGAAUAAACACACUUCACAAUCACCACUAUAAUCUAAAACAUUAGGCUCACAACUUUCACAUUGCCAGAGACCUUAGAACACAAUAAGCAGACAGCUGUGGAUAUCAGAACAAAUAAACAUGGUAAUAUCCUGAAUGUGUAGCUUAUAGAGAGACCGGAAGUAUGGUGUAGAGAGACACAGCUCCAGGACUACACCCAGAAAACCCCUACAGUUUCCCAAUGAUGGCCAAAGGUUAAGUUGCUGCUGUGUGUGUGAGAGAGAGAGAAAGUGAGUUCUGUCUGAGGAGAACAGGGCAGGUGAGGCUACAGAAAUGUGCCUGUUAUUCAGCUGACUGCUCUUCCCCUUUUCGACUGAGUCAGUCUAGCUUGGACAAAACAUUUCUCAGAAACAGAUAGUAUAUGUGGUUUCCAUGGACACAGAGAUGUUACAGCUCGUUGAAAAAAGGAAACGUCACUAAACUGUUUAGUUAAAUAGGAGGUUCUAGGUCCCUCUAGCACCAGUCUGAAACAUGAGACCUCACAGUACCUACUGCUCAUUGCAGUGCAAUAAGUGGGCUGCUCUACUUGCCCAUUGUUGGGUUCUAGCUUGAAAUACACUUAUUCACAUUACCAUACUAGACCUUAUUGGUGCUUUACAUGUAUAAGGAAUGUAUAUGUUAGGGUCAAUGGAGGGUGGAUAAGAACUAGGUGUAUGGAAAGUUACUGGCUGACACAAUGGAGUGCAGAAAGUUUACAUUCUGUCAAAACAUGCUAUUGUUAAAUCUCAUGGCUCGUAAAGAGGGAGGCACAGGGCAACAGUCUUGUUUCAGUCACUGAUAAGGUAGGACAGUCGUAGAGUAGUGAGGAGCGAGGAAUUCGGACCGAGGUCAGAUCAGAUGAAGUGAGAGGAACAGUCCUAUUACACACACACACACUUCGACUCCCACAAAUGUUCUAGCAUCAGGCAGGGCCAUGACUACACCAGUGAGAGGAACCAAUUAAGUAGAAACAGAGAUGUAUUGGCUGUCUAGAUGUGCAAGGAGUUGAC
This 3619-nucleotide long non-coding RNA is filed under the name Salmo salar (Atlantic salmon). RNAcentral describes it as "lncRNA (ENSSSAG00000104181.1)". Lineage: Eukaryota; Metazoa; Chordata; Actinopteri; Salmoniformes; Salmonidae. The record is from RNAcentral.